Molecule: long non-coding RNA, 236 nt
Filed under: Solanum tuberosum (potato)
Lineage: Eukaryota; Viridiplantae; Streptophyta; Magnoliopsida; Solanales; Solanaceae
Description: long non-coding RNA (STUB_LNC001789)
Source: RNAcentral
AGGAUUGAAACAGUUUUGAGAGGAUGAGAAUUACUUGAGAAAUAAUUGUUGAAGAGAGGGCUGAAAAUAAAGAGAAGAAAAUAAUGGGUUAUGAAGUCUAAAAUUGCAAAGUGCUUAAGGAAGUGUAAGUCACUAUUAUAUAGUUUUCCUACCCAUCUCCUAGACUACAUUACAACCCAUUAAAGUCCUAUUUGAUUCUAUUCAAGCAUGCUUAAUUAGUGGAGAUGUACAUAAUG